CGACGGGGAUUACCGGCGAUGCGAUUUCGGUCAAAUCAAGUGCAAUCUUAGUGGCGGACGGGUGAGUAACGCGUGGGUAACCUGCCUUGCACUGGGGGAUAACACUUAGAAAUAGGUGCUAAUACCGCAUAAGCGCACGGUCCUGCAUGGGACAGUGUGAAAAACUCCGGUGGUGCAAGAUGGACCCGCGUCUGAUUAGCUGGUUGGCGGGGUAAAGGCCCACCAAGGCGACGAUCAGUAGCCGGCCUGAGAGGGUGGACGGCCACAUUGGGACUGAGACACGGCCCAAACUCCUACGGGAGGCAGCAGUGGGGGAUAUUGGACAAUGGGGGGAACCCUGAUCCAGCGACGCCGCGUGAGUGAAGAAGUAUUUCGGUAUGUAAAGCUCUGUCAGCAGGGAAGAAAGCAAUGACGGUACCUGACCAAGAAGCCCCGGCUAACUACGUGCCAGCAGCCGCGGUAAUACGUAGGGGGCAAGCGUUAUCCGGAAUUACUGGGUGUAAAGGGAGCGUAGACGGCUGUGCAAGUCUGGAGUGAAAGGCGGGGGCCCAACCCCCGGACUGCUCUGGAAACUGUAUGGCUGGAGUGCAGGAGAGGUAAGCGGAAUUCCUAGUGUAGCGGUGAAAUGCGUAGAUAUUAGGAGGAACACCAGUGGCGAAGGCGGCUUACUGGACUGUAACUGACGUUGAGGCUCGAAAGCGUGGGGAGCAAACAGGAUUAGAUACCCUGGUAGUCCACGCCGUNAACGAUGAUUACUAGGUGUNGGAGGGUAUGGACCCUCCGGUGCC
Molecule: ribosomal RNA, 788 nt
Filed under: uncultured bacterium
Lineage: Bacteria
Description: bacterial SSU rRNA
Rfam family: Bacterial small subunit ribosomal RNA
Source: RNAcentral